Molecule: non-coding RNA, 279 nt
Organism: Galeopterus variegatus (Sunda flying lemur)
Lineage: Eukaryota; Metazoa; Chordata; Mammalia; Dermoptera; Cynocephalidae
Source: the annotation of a RefSeq genome assembly
AUGGAUAGGAGGGCCCCCGCUCAGCUCCUUGGGCUCCUGCUGCUCUGGCUCCCAGGUGCCAGAUGUGACAUCCAGAUGACCCAGUCUCCAUCCUCCUUGUCUGCAUUUCUAGGAGAGACCAUCACCAGCACUUGCCAGGCUAGUCAGAACAUUGGCAAGCACUUAGCCUGGUAUCAACAGAAACCAGGGAAGGCUCCCAAGCUCCUGAUCUAUGCUGCAUCUAAUUUACAAAGUGGGGUCUCAUCAAGGUUCAGUGGCAGUGGAUCAGGGACAGAUUAU